Molecule: RNA transcript, 1665 nt
Organism: Carya illinoinensis
Lineage: Eukaryota; Viridiplantae; Streptophyta; Magnoliopsida; Fagales; Juglandaceae
Gene name: calcium-dependent lipid-binding protein-like
Exons: 7
Source: RefSeq, a predicted model, not a curated record
UCUAUAGUAAUUAUAUAAGCGGCGAUCGACGAGCUACAGUGUUAAGAACAGUAGUUUUACCACUCCGUGCAUUUAUUCCGUGUUGAUUGUUAAUUGUCUUUUUUAUCCUUUUGGUUUCAUCUUUUGUAUCCGUUUAAAUAAGAAUAUUUUGGUCUUUAAUGUUAAGUUGUGUCAGUGAUAUUUUCUCCCCAGAAAAAUUUUAGGCCGCAAGUCCAUCUCUCAUUCUCGCCUUCGUCUUCCUCCCACAUUUUUUCUCUCAACUCAGACCCUCUACCAUCCAUUUCUCGCGGCCCUCCAUUUCUCUUCAUGUAGCUAAAACCCAAAUCGCCAAAGCUGUGAAACCCAGCCCCAACACUUGUCUCUCCCUCUGUUUCCAUCAUCUCCCCAACGCCUGUCUCUCCCUCUGUGAAACCCAAAUCACCAAAGCUGUGAAACCCACCACCGUACGAAGUCUGGUCGAGGACGACCUGGUUCAAGGUCCUGAUUCCCAACAGUUAUUAGAGCCAGCAAGUAACUGCAAACAAAAGUAACCGACACUUUCCAGACACGCAGAUUUAACUUCUACAGCGAUCGAGCAAGCAAGUCAUGCAGUGGGGGUGUCACUCCCAAUUAUUCAGGGGUUUUCAUGGGGAUGGUAUUCGGGAUUGCAUUGAUGGCGGGAUGGAAACAAAUGAUGCGGUACCGGAGCACCAAGCGAAUUGCUAAGUGGGUUGCAGGAGAUACUGGAUGCGAUUUCGGAAGCGAAGGUGCUGGGCGAUGAUCACUAUUAUCAUGCGUGGGGUACACCUUGGGGUUAUGGAUACGAUGGCUCGACGAGGGAUUGGGACGACGUCGUGGCGGAGAUGUAGGAGGAGGUUUGCAGGGAAAGAGGUGGUGACGAGAUGGAGAGGUUUUGUGCGCAGAGCUUUACUAGGGAACAAGUUGAACAACUUGACAAGAACAAGCAAUGGUCCAGGGCACUUGAUGGUUCUAAUUACCUCCCAGGAAUGGUACCUAUCUUUGGGCUGUCGAUAUAAAACUCCUUGGAUCCCUUAAUCGGGAUGAUUUGAAGAAAAUUUGCGGUGAUAAUUUUCCUGAAUGGAUAUCUUUCCCCGCCUUUGAACAGCACAUAUCUUAGUCGAAUUAAAUGAUGUUUUUACAAGAUGGAAAUCUCUUGGGAAAAAGUGGGAUUAUGAAAGCUCUAAGGUUGGGCUAAAAACCUAUCAAGUGGAAAGCUGACAGACUAUUGAUACCAGAUACGGUGUUCAAAAAGUUCCUUUGCAUAAUAAUUUGUUGAUAAGAGGUCAUUGCCAACCAUUGACAAGGUCAAGGGAUAUGGUGGAAGAGAUGUGGAAGUCAUGAAGAUUGCACAUGAUUGCAUACAGAAAUCAUUGCAGUUUAUACAUGAAAGAGAAAUUUCUCACCUAGAUGUCAAACCUUAUAAUAUUUAUGUAAAGAAUGGUGUUUAUAAGUUGUCAUUUUGGAUGUGCAAUUCUCACGGUAAGAGCUUGCAAAUUGAAUAAUGAUUUUGUAUGUUCAAUUUAUGUAAAGAAUGUGUUUUAUUUUCUGUUGUUCAACUUAAAUUAGUUUUAGUGCAUGUUGUUAUGAGAUGAUAAUGUCAUCUUCCAUUUCAAAGAUGUUACUGUUAUCUGUUUUUGCAAAAAUAAUUUCUAUAGAAUUAUUUUA